RNAcentral lists this ribosomal RNA (468 nucleotides) under uncultured bacterium. RNAcentral describes it as "partial 16S ribosomal RNA". It matches the Rfam family "Bacterial small subunit ribosomal RNA", at positions 28 to 507 of the family's 1533-position model. The record is from RNAcentral.
GACGAACGCUGGCGGCGUGCUUAACACAUGCAAGUCGAACGGAAAGGCCCUGCUUUUGUGGGGUGCUCGAGUGGCGAACGGGUGAGUAACACGUGAGUAACCUGCCCUUGACUUUGGGAUAACUUCAGGAAACUGGGGCUAAUACCGGAUAGGAGCUCCUGCUGCGUGGUGGGGGUUGGAACGUUUCGGCGGGUGGGGAUGGACUCGCGGCUUAUCAGCUUGUUGGUGGGGUAGUGGCUUACCAAGGCUUUGACGGGUAGCCGGCCUGAGAGGGUGACCGGCCACAUUGGGACUGAGAGACGGCCCAGACUCCUACGUGAGGCAGCAGUGGGGAAUAUUGCACAAUGGGCGGAAGCCUGAUGCAGCAACGCCGCGUGCGGGAUGACGGCCUUCGGGUUGUAAACCGCUUUCGCCUGUGACGAAGCGUGAGUGACAGUAAUGGGUAAAGAAGCACCGGCUAACUACGUG